UUGCAGCUAUAUCACAUUGAAGCACAGGUUCCCAUAUGAUCACAGAAGUCAAACAAUGGUGAACCUGGUCAGUACCUAGAUGAAUGACCAUUUGGGAAUAAUAGGUACUGUAA
Molecule: non-coding RNA, 113 nt
Organism: Acanthosepion pharaonis
Lineage: Eukaryota; Metazoa; Mollusca; Cephalopoda; Sepiida; Sepiidae
Source: the annotation of a GenBank genome assembly